UACGAAGGGGACUAGCGUUGUUCGGAAUUACUGGGCGUAAAGCGCACGUAGGCGGAUUUGUUAGUCAGGGGUAAAAUCCCGGGGCUCAACCUCGGAACUGCCUUUGAUACUGCAAGUCUUGAGUCCGAUAGAGGUGGGUGGAAUUCCUAGUGUAGAGGUGAAAUUCGUAGAUAUUAGGAAGAACACCGGUGGCGAAGGCGGCCCACUGGAUCGGUACUGACGCUGAGGUGCGAAAGCGUGGGGAGCAAAC
Molecule: ribosomal RNA, 250 nt
Filed under: uncultured bacterium
Lineage: Bacteria
Description: partial 16S ribosomal RNA
Rfam family: Bacterial small subunit ribosomal RNA
Source: RNAcentral